This is a long non-coding RNA of Lutra lutra (Eurasian river otter), 758 nucleotides long. RefSeq lists it as uncharacterized. The transcript has 7 exons. Lineage: Eukaryota; Metazoa; Chordata; Mammalia; Carnivora; Mustelidae. The record is from RefSeq and is a predicted model, not a curated record.
GAAGUUUGGGACUUGAUUUGUGGGGCCCUGGGGAGUAAUUGAGGGUUGUUGAGCAGCAUAUGAUCCAGGGGACAAUGGAGGUCAAGAGAUGAUGGCAGAAGAUGUUACCCCCUUGCUUUGUCCUGAUGAAGAAAGCAAGGGAGGCUGCUUACUGGCCUCGGGGGAAAGAGCGGAUUCUGGAAAACACCCUGUAGCAGCUUCUGUUCUCUGUCUCCACAACUCCUCUCCUUUGGGUCCAGCACAGCCAUUCCAGAAUCCUGGAGAGGUUGGCACAGUCCUUUGGCCCACAGGACUUUCUCCCUGGGGAUUUUGAACAGGUCUUCAGAGAGUCCGCUAUGUCUCAUCCCCCAGGAAUUCUAGAAGAUUCCACUCAAGGCAGAGGCUGAAGGAAUUUGUGCAGAUGACAAAAUAGCUGAGAGCUGAGCCCGGUUCACAGAAGGCAGAAGCAUUCGUGCCCACCUGGAGAAGACGGCACCAGCCGACCAAGGCGGGGGCUUUCCAGAGAUGAUUUCCUUCCCUGGACCCAAGAGAUGGGCCAGCGGUGAGAGGCUGAAUGGACGGCAGACUUCCAGAAGUGCAGACAGAGGAGACGGAGCAGUAAUAAUGACUUGGACACAUGGGAGGAAAAAAUAGCUCAGGGACGAAGAUGACGCCAAGGUUUCUGGCCUUGGGAGGCUCCUGGGGCUCUGAGGUGAGCAUUGAGGGACGAAGACGGCAGCUCCUGAAGGAAUGGGGAAGGUAGUGGGAAGUGGAAGGGG